CCCAGGCCGCGGGGAGGGCUCUCGGGGACCGGUCUCCCCGACCAGGGAUCGGUCCCUCUGAGCGAAAACUGCCCAGUGAAUGUAAGUUGAGAGAUGAAAAGUGGAGGGGUCUAUAUGCAAAAUGGCCUUCAUUAGAGAGGGCUGAGCCCCCUCUCUCCCUCACACUCUCAUUUCCCCCUCUCUCUCACUCUCUUCCUCUCUUG
This 203-nucleotide long non-coding RNA is filed under the name Ananas comosus (pineapple). RNAcentral describes it as "long non-coding RNA (ACOM_LNC036415)". Lineage: Eukaryota; Viridiplantae; Streptophyta; Magnoliopsida; Poales; Bromeliaceae. The record is from RNAcentral.